This 96-nucleotide transfer RNA is filed under the name Gigaspora rosea. It matches the Rfam family "tRNA". Rfam says of the family: Transfer RNA (tRNA) molecules are approximately 80 nucleotides in length. The record is from Rfam by way of RNAcentral. Lineage: Eukaryota; Fungi; Glomeromycota; Glomeromycetes; Diversisporales; Gigasporaceae.
CCGGUAAUAGCUCAGUUGGUAGAGCGGGAGACUGUAGUGAACUCAUUGUUCAAAACUGAUAUCUCUAGGUCGCUAGUUCAAGUCUGGCUUGCCGGA